GCUGGGUGUGGUGGUGUGUGCCUGUAGUCUCAGCUACUGGGGAGGCUGAGGUGGGAGGAUUGCUUGAGCCCAGGAGUUCUAGGUUACAGUGAACUAUGAUCAUGCCACUGUACUCCAGCCUGGGUUACAGAGCAAUACCUUGUCUCAA
Molecule: non-coding RNA, 148 nt
Organism: Pan troglodytes (chimpanzee)
Lineage: Eukaryota; Metazoa; Chordata; Mammalia; Primates; Hominidae
Rfam family: Metazoan signal recognition particle RNA
About the family: The signal recognition particle (SRP) is a universally conserved ribonucleoprotein. It is involved in the co-translational targeting of proteins to membranes.
Source: Rfam